GAAUGCUGACAUAAGUAACGAUAAAGCGGGUGAAAAGCCCGCUCGCCGGAAGACCAAGGGUUCCUGUCCAACGUUAAUCGGGGCAGGGUGAGUCGACCCCUAAGGCGAGGCCGAAAGGCGUAGUCGAUGGGAAACGGGUUAAUAUUCCCGUACUUGGUGUUACUGCGAAGGGGGGACGGAGAAGGCUAUGUUGGCCGGGCGACGGUUGUCCCGGUUUAAGCGUGUAGGUGUGUGUUCCAGGUAAAUCCGGUUCACUUUAACACUGAGGCGUGACGACGAGGCACUACGGUGCUGAAGCAACAAAUGCCCUGCUUCCAGGAAAAGCCUCUAAGCAUCAGGUAACAUCAAAUCGUACCCCAAACCGACACAGGUGGUCAGGUAGAGAAUACCAAGGCGCUUGAGAGAACUCGGGUGAAGGAACUAGGCAAAAUGGUGCCGUAACUUCGGGAGAAGGCACGCUGACACGUAGGUGAAGUGAUUUACUCAUGGAGCUGAAGUCAGUCGAAGAUACCAGCUGGCUGCAACUGUUUAUUAAAAACACAGCACUGUGCAAACACGAAAGUGGACGUAUACGGUGUGACGCCUGCCCGGUGCCGGAAGGUUAAUUGAUGGGGUCAGCGCAAGCGAAGCUCCUGAUCGAAGCCCCGGUAAACGGCGGCCGUAACUAUAACGGUCCUAAGGUAGCGAAAUUCCUUGUCGGGUAAGUUCCGACCUGCACGAAUGGCGUAAUGAUGGCCAGGCUGUCUCCACCCGAGACUCAGUGAAAUUGAACUCGCUGUGAAGAUGCAGUGUACCCGCGGCAAGACGGAAAGACCCCGUGAACCUUUACUAUAGCUUGACACUGAACAUUGAGCCUUGAUGUGUAGGAUAGGUGGGAGGCUUUGAAGUGUGGACGCCAGUCUGCAUGGAGCCGACCUUGAAAUACCACCCUUUAAUGUUUGAUGUUCUAACGUGGACCCGUUACCCGGGUUGCGGACAGUGUCUGGUGGGUAGUUUGACUGGGGCGGUCUCCUCCUAAAGAGUAACGGAGGAGCACGAAGGUUGGCUAAUCCUGGUCGGACAUCAGGAGGUUAGUGCAAUGGCAUAAGCCAGCUUGACUGCGAGCGUGACGGCGCGAGCAGGUGCGAAAGCAGGUCAUAGUGAUCCGGUGGUUCUGAAUGGAAGGGCCAUCGCUCAACGGAUAAAAGGUACUCCGGGGAUAACAGGCUGAUACCG
This 1215-nucleotide ribosomal RNA is filed under the name Salmonella enterica. Its description in RNAcentral is "partial 23S ribosomal RNA". It matches the Rfam family "Bacterial large subunit ribosomal RNA", at positions 1292 to 2490 of the family's 2925-position model. Lineage: Bacteria; Pseudomonadati; Pseudomonadota; Gammaproteobacteria; Enterobacterales; Enterobacteriaceae. The record is from RNAcentral.